UACGUAGGGGGCGAGCGUUGUCCGGAUUUAUUGGGCGUAAAGAGCUCGUAGGUGGUUCGAUAAGUCGGGUGUGAAAACUCUGGGCUUAACUCAGAGACGCCACCCGAUACUGUCGUGACUUGAGUCUGGUAGGGGAGUGUGGAAUUCCCAGUGUAGCGGUGAAAUGCGCAGAUAUUGGGAGGAACACCAGUGGCGAAGGCGGCACUCUGGGCCAGUACUGACACUGAGGAGCGAAAGCGUGGGUAGCGAACAGG
This 254-nucleotide ribosomal RNA is filed under the name uncultured bacterium. RNAcentral's name for it is "partial 16S ribosomal RNA". It matches the Rfam family "Bacterial small subunit ribosomal RNA", at positions 524 to 776 of the family's 1533-position model. The record is from RNAcentral.